Molecule: long non-coding RNA, 1064 nt
Filed under: Triticum aestivum (bread wheat)
Lineage: Eukaryota; Viridiplantae; Streptophyta; Magnoliopsida; Poales; Poaceae
Description: long non-coding RNA (TAES_LNC014207)
Source: RNAcentral
UGUAAUGGCAGCAUAACACCUGGUUCAAGCAAACGAUUGGUGCUGGCUAACCUCAGUAACAAGUUUUGUGUUAUCAACAAUGGAGAGAAGACAUACAACGAACUUGAGGAAAAAAGACAUGUUCUCAGUUGAUGAUUAAUUGCUUGGGAGCAUAAAACCAACCAAAGUUUCUAUGCACUGGGAGAAUGUUUGUAUAGGUUAGAGCAUAGAAUUCACACAGUAUGGUCCUAUUUAAACACUAAAAUAUAUUACAUAUAUAGACAUCACUUACAAGACAUACAUAAUCACUGAGAGCGAGCCUCAUAAUCUUCCCCUUCAAGCUUUUCAUAAUCUUCUUCCUGUCCUGAACUGAAAUGCAUUAUCGUGUUAAAUAGCAAAAGCACAUUGAAAAUAAGCAAGAAGGAAAAUACUACUGAAUAUGCACCGUGAGGAGGCUCCAAUGUGCUUCUGCCAUUUAACACAGUAAGCAAACUUAAUCGGAUUUACACAUAGUUUGAGAGGAUGAGUAUUAUGAACAUUGGAAAUACUACGGAAUAUGCAGCACGCUCUAGAUCCGUGGUUCAGUCUUUCAGUUCAUAGAUUCCUAGGUUCAUAGAUUCGAACAUUCAAUCUUUACAAUCAGCAGUACUUCUAGAUUCACAUAUUCGAAGAUUCAAUCUCUACAAUCAGCAGUACAUCUAGAUUCACAUAUUCAACGGAUUUUCUAGGGAACGAACUGUCCACCGGGUUCCAUAUUAAAUUAGCCCACAUCCAUACUUUGGCAGACUGUAUUUCUUACUUAGCAGCACAAGCAUACUAGAUCUUCGCAUGAUCUUGCUGAGAGUCAGUACAGCUUUCCAGUUUACUCAGUGGCUGGCCUUGCUGCUAGUUGCUGCAGUAAGGCACUCCUAGCAUGACCCCUCUGAAUUGAGCAAGCAGACUGCAAAAGAAUCCUAUCGGCUCUGACUGUACUAUUUCUUCAGUCAAGCCAACUACUUUAUUCAGAAAUCGCUGCAUGUUCGAUGGGGCGAAGUUGUUUGUUCACUAACCUCUUGUUCCAUCCGGGCACCAAUGAUUCAUCUCCC